AUCCUGUCUGAAUAUGGGGGGACCAUCCUCCAAGGCUAAAUACUCCUGACUGACCGAUAGUGAACCAGUACCGUGAGGGAAAGGCGAAAAGAACCCCGGGAGGGGAGUGAAAAAGAACCUGAAACCGUGUACGUACAAGCAGUGGGAGCCCCACCACCAAAGCAUUCUCUGGUGUUGAAGGCCCUGCAAAGCAGCAUCGCGGUGGCGGAGCGUCGUUUGCGACGCCCAACACACAAAACAAGCGGUGAAUGCUUUGGGGUGGGGUGACUGCGUACCUUUUGUAUAAUGGGUCAGCGACUUAUAUUCUGUAGCAAGGUUAACCGAAUAGGGGAGCCGGAGGGAAA
Molecule: ribosomal RNA, 344 nt
Filed under: Salmonella enterica subsp. enterica serovar Typhimurium
Lineage: Bacteria; Pseudomonadati; Pseudomonadota; Gammaproteobacteria; Enterobacterales; Enterobacteriaceae
Description: bacterial LSU rRNA
Rfam family: Bacterial large subunit ribosomal RNA
Source: RNAcentral